UGGGGGAUCGUCUAGCGGUAGGACUGCGGACUCUGACUCCGCCAACCUAGGUUCGAAUCCUAGUCCCCCAGCCA
This 74-nucleotide transfer RNA is filed under the name Gammaproteobacteria bacterium. Its description in RNAcentral is "tRNA-Gln". It matches the Rfam family "tRNA". Rfam says of the family: Transfer RNA (tRNA) molecules are approximately 80 nucleotides in length. Their secondary structure includes four short double-helical elements and three loops (D, anti-codon, and T loops). The record is from RNAcentral. RNAcentral also lists the same sequence under 9 other names. Lineage: Bacteria; Pseudomonadati; Pseudomonadota; Gammaproteobacteria.